GGGCGAUUAGCUCAGAUGGUUAGAGUACUUGCUUGACAUGCAAGGAGUCACUGGUUCAAUUCCAGUAUCGCCCACCA
RNAcentral lists this transfer RNA (77 nucleotides) under bacterium. RNAcentral's name for it is "tRNA-Val". It matches the Rfam family "tRNA". Rfam says of the family: Transfer RNA (tRNA) molecules are approximately 80 nucleotides in length. The record is from RNAcentral. RNAcentral also lists the same sequence under 2 other names.